Molecule: long non-coding RNA, 1244 nt
Filed under: Anthonomus grandis grandis
Lineage: Eukaryota; Metazoa; Arthropoda; Insecta; Coleoptera; Curculionidae
Description: uncharacterized LOC126740439
Source: RNAcentral
AACAUUGAAAGGCUAGAAUUAGUAAACAACAACUUUGUUUGAGUCCAACAUGUGCACAGGGGCAAGAGGGGUGUUUUGUUUACAAACAUAUUUGCCGAUUCUCUGUUGUCAAGUCGACGCAAAUUUCCAACGGAGGAAAUUUUUAGCUAUAUUUUAACAACCAUUAUAACGUUAAUUUAACUUAUUUGUGUUGUAUUUUAUAGGAAAAUUUAAAAUAAAAAGAAUAAAUACUACAAUUAACCUAUUUUAAGAAUAAAUAUAAUAUCCUUAAGCAAAAAAAAAAACAAAAUUACUAACAUUGUUAUCCCUAAAACUGCUUCUAAAAAAUUUAAAGCGACAACACCGGAGCUUAAGCGUCUGAGCCAUACGCGUAGUGUCAUCUGUCAAACGGCUUUUUGUUUAUUUUCGGGAUUCGUGUAUUUUCUUUAAUUUUCGGUUUCAAAAGGAAAAAGGCCACAUUUUAGUGUUUUUUUAAAUUGCUAGGAUGGGAAAAACUUGUGUCGUUUGUGCCGCAUCAUGAUAAAAAGGUGAUUCAAGCCGAUCUUUUCACAAAUUGCCUAAUAUAUGCCCAAAGGGAACAAUGGAUUUCAUUAAUGGAAAUCAACACAAUUAAACAGAACAUAUUUGUUUGUUCAGAUCACAUCCUUAGAAGUGAUUUCUUAUAUAAGGAAGAUAAUAUUAUCAGUAGCCAGACUUAGACAGAUUAAAAAAAUCAGCUCUACCUCAAAGGAUUUCUGAUGCACUGGUUAAAAACACAGCAGCUGAUAAUUCAGUUAAUUUACCAAGUGAUUUACCCUUCAAAGCUGCAGGGGUAGCUUUCCUGAAGAGUGCAAAAACUUCUUUAGCUUCCAAAAUGGUAUAUAGUACAAACAGUGAAGCUGAUAUAGACAAAUCUGAUCAUUCAUCAUCAACAAUAACUGCAUCUGAGAUUAAUAGUUCUACAGUAACCGUGGAGUCUAGGUCAACAAUUACUAUUUCUCAUCCAAGCCGUUUUUGUUUAACUGCUACAUAUUCCCUGACUCUGCCAAGGAAAAGGGUAAAAUCAAAAUGAUAUCCUGAGGACCUAAGCACUGAUGAUUUUACCGUUUCAAAAGCUAAAUCACUUGUUACCAAAUUAUGGAAAAAAAAUAAAGAGCAAAAAAUUAAAAUUCGAAGAUUGCAAUAAACAAAUUUGCCCCAAAGAAAUUGAAUUAGAUGUCUCAAGUUAUUAUUAAAAUACUUAAGAAAUAAUAACAUGAUUUUCG